RNAcentral lists this long non-coding RNA (6008 nucleotides) under Sus scrofa (pig). RNAcentral's name for it is "lncRNA (ENSSSCG00000052158.1)". Lineage: Eukaryota; Metazoa; Chordata; Mammalia; Artiodactyla; Suidae. The record is from RNAcentral.
UAUUAUUAACAUGCUAAAUCAGGCCUUCAAAUUUUUAUUGACAUUAUUGCCUGCUACACUCAUUUAAGAGCUUUCUAGUUUAUAUCAAUCAAUAGGGCUUUUCUGGAAGCUGAAAUAUAUGGGAAAGUACUUCCUUUUUCCUAGGUGGUAGAUAAGAUGAGUAUUAGUAAAUAUAAAGACAUCAACUCUUUCAAAACUACUGUUUUUCUUCAGUCAGUGAGGUGCUGCAUUAGAACAAGAACUGGUCAGCAAAGAAAAAUGGGAAACUGAUCUAAGUUUCUUGUCUCUUGAGUCCGAUGAUCAUAGUUUGACUUCUCUUUAACUUCAGUUUAGAGUGGAUUUAUUAUUUCUGUAAGCAAUGUGAAUUUCCAAAUUGAAGAACACAUCCAUAUAUACACGUGUACAUAUAUUCCCCAAACAAGAAUAAGUAUUUAGAUCUUCCCAAUGUGGGUUAGUAGGCCCUCUUCUAAUCUCUUACUGGCUCAGCACUGAACAAGAAUUAGCUUUAUAGCAGACUCCUUUUUGUUCUGCUUUUGGUGUAAAAAUGAGGUUUCUAUAGAUCAAGAAUCUGCUAACACAACUUUUUCCCAUAUCUGGAGAUAUGAUCAUUUAAUACAUAUUCUACAAGUUUUUUCUCUCCAGCUAAACUAUGUCUGAGCAAGAAAGCUUAACUUGACUGAUGAAUCUGACUGUCCAGAGAAUCCUUUAGCUGUAUUCAACUCAGAUACAAUACUGUAUUUCCCCCCACACUUCACCAGUAAGUCCUCCAAACUCUUCCUGAAGCUUUCUUUGCCUUCCCUGGCUACUACCCACCAGACCAGUAGUGCCAUGCCCUGUCAUGAGCCUCACUUGCCCAAUAAAUUCAGAGGCCAAAAGAAUACAGUGUGGUACCUUUAGACAAGAGUCAUGCAGGAGGCACUUAAAAUUUUGUUGAGAGGGCAGAUUUUAUAUUAAGUGUUCUUACCACAAUAAAAUAAAGUUUUUAGAAAAAAAGAUUUAUUUCCUUUGGUACUUUCACAGAGCAGCAUAAGGACAAAACAGGAAGAAGAUGGGAGAGCUCUCAUAACUAGCCAGUGGAGGUCAAAGUUGAGAUAUUACCUUUCGCAGAAAGCUUGAUAAAUUAUCAUAAUAAGAAAAAUAUGACCAAAAAUCAAGCCUCAAGAAUGGCUAGGUGUUCCUGCUGUGGCGCUAUGGGAUCGGGUGCUGUCCCUGGAGUUCUGGGAUGCAGGUUCCCUGCCUGGCACAGUGGGUUAGGGAUCCAGCGUAGGUCACAACUGUGGCUUGGAUCUGAUCCCUGGCCCAGGAACUCCUGAUGCCAUGGAGCAGCCAAAAAAGGAAAAAAAGAAUGGCUAAAAUCAUUAGCAUGAAUGCCUCAGAGGGAAGUGACAGUUUCCCAUUGCCUACUUAUGGAAAGAGGAUGGUCACCAGAGUUUACUACUCUUCUAAAAUAGGACAGGAAAGAGGACAAGCUGAGAUAUGAAGAUGAUGCAUUUUUAAUUGGUUUCAUUCUGUGAUAUCUAAUUGACACAUAAAGUGUAAGUUGCGAUUAGGCUGUAACUAUAGACCCUGGUCAUUUACCUCUUUAAGUCAAAUCAGUAACAUAAAGGAUAAAACGCAUUAAUAUUUUUAUGCUUCUAUCUGGAUUACUAGCCCACUGAGAAAAGAUAGGGUGUCACCAAAUACACAGAAUAAACCAGUGGUUACCACUGGGGAGAGGGAAGGGGAGGGGCAAGACGGGUGGGAAUUAAGAGGUACAAACUAGUAUGUACAAAAUAAAUAAGCUAUAAAGUUGUAUUAUACUACACAGGGAACAUAGCUGAUAUCUUAUAAUAACUACAAAUGGAAUAUUAUCUUUAAAAAUUGUGGAUUAUGUCAUACACCUAAAAUAUAUAGUAUUGUAAAUCAACUUUACCUCAGUUAAAAAAAAAGUUACACUGUUGUGUCUUUAUCAUAGUUAUUUCAGUUCAUGACAUCUUAUAUAAAGGACCUUUAGCUGACACAAACAGUAGAAGUAACUAAAGUCCAAACCAGAAAAAUGUAAUGUGAGAGAGUCUUAUAAAAUUACGUACUUGAGGCUUAACUUCAUAUUUUUUAGAAAAGAAAUUCAGCCUUUUUGUGUUAACAAAAUGAAGAUGUAACAUCAGACCACAAUAUUCUGAAGGAAUGAAUUUAACACAGUUGUUAUAUUAAGCAAGCUUGGAAUAUAUAUAUUUAUUUAUGAGAAGUAUAAGAAACCUAUUCUCUAAAGGGCUCCAACAUACCCUAAUUCGGCUUUGAGAAUUGCUUUGAUAACUCUCUCUUGCGAAAAGUAGAUGAAAGCUUGCACUAGGAGUGAUUAAGAGAUUUAUGGGAUUUAUAUACUAACAUGAAAGCCCAGGAUUUUAGACUUGUGCUAAUUGUUCCAACCCUGGGUCCCAAAAGUCUGACUCCACUAUUGAGAUAUUUUAAAAGAUAUUUCAAAACAUGCUUCAGGAAUCCCACAGUUCUUUAAUUCAAAUAUUAUUUCAUACCUUUUUAUAUAUCAUUUAAACUAAUAGAUUUAAAAGGUACAAUUGUUCAAAAGUGUUGAAUACCAAAUUUUGACACAUUAGAAUUAAUGUCUGAUUUCAUGCUCUCAGUAACAUCAUUACAGUACAAAUUUCAAAAUAAUGGUAGCUUUGACAUCUUUUUGCAUAUAGUUGAAUGUCUUACCAAUGCAAAUUCAUUCAUCUUAAAAAUUUACAUGAUUAAGGACUUCCCCAGUGGCCUAGUGGUUAAGGAUUUGGCAUUAUCACUUUUGUGGCUUGGGCUCCAUCCCUAGGCCAGGAACUUCUGAAUGCCACAGGCGUAGCCAAAAAACUAAAAAUUAAAAAAACUUAUGUGACUUCGCAUCCAUGUUUUUGUAAUUAAUUAUCCCAGCUGUGCAUGUCUGUCACAUUAGAUUAUACAUUUUGCAUCAGCUUUUGUGUUUGCCAAUAAUGUGUACAAUAUGAGUAAGUUUCGUUAGAUCACACAGAUUGUUAUAGUUCCAUCCUGCCAGCUGCCGACAACAUUAGCAGUGAAGGCAAACCUUGAACUAACAUGCAAAACAAAAUCUAUUUUACUGUUUUGAAACUUUAAGUGACUCUCUAAUAGGAGCAAGCACUGAAGUAUACAGCUUUAUUAUAAUAACUACAGCAAAUGUCACACUAUAAGAUAAUUUUUUAAAAUAUUUUCUACAAAAGAUUGUAUCUUUUCUAUCGACUUCUCUGAAAUUUAAAUGCUUACCUACUUAAUUAUGUGAGUAGUAGUUGGAUAACAAAAUGAAUAAAUGUAGGAAAACGUAUAAUAAUCUCUGUGGUGUUUCAGAAUCAGUUUAAUGGUCCAAUACCCUAAGAGCGUAAAAUGAACAGCUUAGAAAAGUGUUAUUUUCUCCCGGUUUAACAAAUUAGGAAUUUCUCCCUAUUAUUCAAACAAAAAUAUACAAAAAUUGGUUGUGUUGAAGCUGAUAAAAGAUUACAACUGCCAUAACUAGUAUGAUAAUAACCGUUGCUUUGAAUUAUCAAUUUGUCAUAAUAGUGUAAUAAUAUUCCCCAGUUUUAUAAAGACUUACAAAUGUAAACUCAUAAAACAUGUUAAAGCUACACAAUUUCUAUUUUUUGUUUGUUUUAUGUAUUCACGAUCUGUAAAAGUUAACAUUUGAAAAAUGAGUUCCACUGUUGCUUAAAAUUUUUGAAAACUGCUGUGUUAAAAUAACACAAAAAUCAAAAUUAAUGGUUUUUAAGUUGUACAAGUAAGCACUCAGUGUACUUCAGUGAUCAUCCCUAAGUUUUGUUUGCUUUCCUUGUAAUAUAGAUUCUGAAGACCUAAGAUCUAAUUUUUACUUUGAAAACUGCAUCUUCCCAGACAGCCAAUUUUGGCAUGCCUUAAAUAAUAGAUUCCCACCAAAUCACAUUUGUACAGUCUAUGGUAUUUACCAAGGUUAUUUUGUAGGUUUGCGUGUUGAAGCUAGCACUUGAGCAACCUGUCAGUUUCUCCUGGUCCUCUGCUUACUGUUGGGAAUGAACUGUCAUAUUGUUCAUAAUGAUCUCUAAGUUACAGCUUCAGAGUCAAAGUCUGAAUAGCUGGCUUCCCACUGGCAUGAUAAUUUUAGUCACAGGAUUAAGCUGAAUUUUCUGCUUAGGUUUAUUUGAAGUAGAAUUCUCGAUUUAAGCAGACAGUAGAAACAUGAAGAAAGACUCUUUAACAAGAUAUACCAUUUAGGAAAAAACUUAGGGAGACACCAGGUAAGACUGAAUGUUUUUCUACCUCAUCUUUGGCUAUGUUGCUCAUUGUUUGAUGAUUUUUUUAUCAUAAUUAAUGAUUUGAUUGAUUGUGGAAUGUUUAACCUUGAAUUUCACUUCAAGGCUUGAGUGAGCCCCUUAUAAUAUGAUUUUUCCCCCCAUCUUUCUAGGGCUUCUUUAAGGAAUUAAAAUCUUAUCUUCCAUGGUCAGUUAUCAAAACCACUGUAGCUUUUUUUCCUCUCAAACCAUUUAUACCAUAAUCUCAUCUUGACAUCAGCCAACCUCAUUCUUAAAAUUUAUAAAGAAAAAUAUUUAAUCCUGUUUCUCAAGUUACUUGCCUUGUUUCUCCACUCAUUUAUCUGCCUCUUACCCAAUAGGAAAGAAGAGAUUAAAACAUCCAUAGGCAUGACAGUAAUUCUAGCAUGCUCGAGGUGCUUCCAAGCAUCCUUUUUUAAUGGGAAUGGAAUUUCAUUUAUUCUAACUUGUCUGCUCCCUUCUGCCACCUGCCACCUGCCCUUAGAUGCACAUAAGUGGUCUUCACAGUCACAGCUUGCCCUGUUUGAAUGGAUCCAGACAUCUUUUCCCAGAAUUUAACUUUUUAAAGAAAGAUGCACCUAAGCACAAUAUUAGUUUUAAGUGGAACUCUCAGGCAGCUUCUCUAUAAUGUCUCAUUAACUGAAAAUACCAUUCGUGUACAUAACAGCUAAAAACGGCAAUUUGCUCUCUCUCUAAUUUCCCAUCUCUCUUCUCUGACUCUACACCAUGUUGGAAUUCAUAUCGCUUUGGGAUCUGGAGAGGUAAGAGGUCAGGGGAGACCCACAAAGGCCAGGGGAGCAGAGAGAGACAUUUGGAGUGGGGAUCCUGGCUAACAUGUGGGUAUAUCCCUUUUAUUUGCUAGCUCUGUAUCCUGAUCAUGGAUUGACUUGCUCUGUUCCUGGCCUCAGAGCCCACUACCUGGCUUAAUGGAUUCCUGGAGUUGUAUUUUAAAGCCCAACGGAUGGAUUAAGAGAGUUAUUAAGAAUAUGACCAAUUAUAGUGGUGGCCUGAGCCACAAAAGGCCAAAACCCAGGAGGACCUCAUCCUUCUCAAAGCUUUUUUUUUUUUUUUUUUUUUUUUUUUUUUUUUUUUUUUUUGCCACACCUGCAGCCUGUAGAAGUUCCUAGGCCAGGGAUUGAAUACAUCAUAGCUGCAGCAAUACCUGACCCUUUACCCACUGGCUUGGCAAACGAUCGAAUCCAUUCCUCAGCAGUAACCCAAUCCACCGCAGAGACAACACUGGAUCCUUAAGCUGCUAUGCCAUAGCAGGAACUCCUAAACAUUUUUGUAUUAUAGCACUAUGUAGCACCACAUACUGGGUCAGUUUCUUUUAAAUUCACGUCAUGUAAUUCUCAAAGGAAUUCUGCAGUUGGAACAUAUUCCCUUAAUAAAAUAAGGGAUAACUUAAUAAAAUAAGAAUUGAUGGAAUGAAUUAGAGUAGCCUAGAAAAAGUAUUACUAGGUAUUUUAUUAUUAUUAUUAUUACUAAAAAAUGUUUAACGUGGGAGUUCCCAUCGUAGCACAUCAGAAACUAAGCCAACUAGGAACCACGAGGUUGGUAGUUCAAUCCCUGGCCUUGCUCUUUGGGUUAAGGAUCCGGCAUUGCCAUGAGCUGUGGUGUAGGUCUCAAAUGCGGCUUGGAUCUCGUGUUGCUGUGGCUCUGGUGUAGGCUGGCAGCUACAGCUCCAAUUAGACCCCUAGCCUGGGAACCUCCAUAUGCUGCAGGUGCAGC